This 497-nucleotide ribosomal RNA is filed under the name uncultured bacterium. RNAcentral describes it as "partial 16S ribosomal RNA". It matches the Rfam family "Bacterial small subunit ribosomal RNA", at positions 28 to 507 of the family's 1533-position model. The record is from RNAcentral.
GAUGAACGCUGGCGGCGUGCCUAAUACAUGCAAGUCGAGCGAACAGACGAGGAGCUUGCUCCUCUGUCGUUAGCGGCGGACGGGUGAGUAACACGUGGAUAACCUACCUAUAAGACUGGGAUAACUUCGGGACACCGGAGCUAAUACCGGAUAAUAUAUUGAACCGCAUGGUUCAAUAGUGAAAGACGGUUUUGCUGUCACUUAUAGAUGGAUCCGCGCCGCAUUAGCUAGUUGGUAAGGUAACGGCUUAUCAAGGCAACGAUGCGUAGCCGACCUGAGAGGGUGAUCGGCCACACUGGAACUGAGACACGGUCCAGACUCCUACGGGAGGCAGCAGUAGGGAAUCUUCCGCAAUAGGCGAAAGCCUGACGGAGCAACGCCGCGUGAGAGAUGAAGAUCUUCGGAUCGUAAAACUCUGUUAUUAGGGAAGAACAAAUGUGUAAGUAACUAUGCACGUCUUGACGGUACCUAAUCAGAAAGCCACGGCUAACUACGUG